This is a non-coding RNA of Pelobates cultripes (western spadefoot toad), 781 nucleotides long. NCBI's taxonomy places the organism in Eukaryota, Metazoa, Chordata, Amphibia, Anura, Pelobatidae. The record is from the annotation of a GenBank genome assembly.
CAGGACUUCUACAACCAAGCUUCAGCGCCUCACAGACAGCAUGUUUUCUCCUAUGAUUUGCCAAUACUUCAAUAAAUCCAUCUUGCCUUCCACAUGCCACAAUUUUACAGUGCCAAAGCAGGUCCAGAGCAUCACCGAGCCACCACCAUCAUUAACUGGAGACAGUGUUCUUUCCAGCAUAUGUUUCAUUCUUCCUCCAGACAUACAUUUGGUCCAUUGGGCCUUAAAGUUCCAGUUUUGUUUCAUCCCUCCACAGAACAAAAUCACAAUUUCUGCAGCUUAUUUAUAUAAUUUUGAGCUGACCUUUUUUCUUGUGCUUCUGGGUCAGUAGUGGUGUAAGUCUUCUGGCAUGGACACCUUCUGCAUUUAGCACAUGCCUUACUGUGCUCACUGUAACAUCAGUCCCCAGUCUUGCUGUAGGUAUUUUGCAGUGACUCAAGGAUUUUUCACAACCUGCCUUCUCAGAAAUACUGUUGUAGCCAUUGAUAGCUUCGUUUUUCUGCCCCUUCAUCUUUUUUGUGAACCAUUCUUUUUAAUGAUGUCUCUAGGAACAUUCAGUUUCUUUGCAAUCUUCUUGUAUCGAGUCUGGAGAAGUCAUUGUAAGUUGCUUAUUGACAUACUUCCGGGUUUUUGCCCAUUACCAUUGUAACGGAUUCUUGCUCAUGGUUUUAAAGGCUGUUUUGCGUUCUUGUUUGCCACAGUCUCCCUACUAUUCCUUGUAUUUUUUUAUUCUGUGCUUUUGGGUUUCUGCUCCUGGUUGCCUUUACAGAUUGCUGUCCUG